Molecule: ribosomal RNA, 420 nt
Filed under: uncultured bacterium
Lineage: Bacteria
Description: bacterial SSU rRNA
Rfam family: Bacterial small subunit ribosomal RNA
Source: RNAcentral
GGCCAGCAGCCGCGGUAAUACAUAGGGGGCAAGCGUUAUCCGGAAUUAUUGGGCGUAAAGAGUGCGUAGGCGGUUUAUUAAGUCUGGUGUGAAAUCCCACAGCUUAACUGUGGAGGGUCAUUGGAAACUGGUAAACUUGAGUACGGUAGAGGUAAGUGGAAUUCCAAGUGGAGCGGUGGAAUGCGUAGAUAUUUGGAGGAACACCAGUGGCGAAGGCGGCUUACUGGGCCGUUACUGACGCUGAGGCACGAAAGCGUGGGGAGCAAACAGGAUUAGAUACCCUGGUAGUCCACGCUGUAAACGUUGAGCACUAAGUGUCGGAUUUAAAUUCGGCGCUGCAGUUAACACAUUAAGUGCUCCGCCUGGGGAGUACGGUCGCAAGACUGAAACUCAAAGGAAUUGACGGGGGCCCGCACAAGC